Long non-coding RNA from Homo sapiens (human), 458 nucleotides. The record is from Ensembl. NCBI's taxonomy places the organism in Eukaryota, Metazoa, Chordata, Mammalia, Primates, Hominidae.
GACACAGACCCAGACCAUAUCAGAGUCUGCAUAGGAGGAUCUUUCCUGCUCAGGAAGAUGGUCAAACCUCAUAGAGGUAGUUUCAAACCACAGGACAAUUUCUGUGUCUUCACAGAGAAGAAAGCACUGUUAAUUCCUGUUUUUACACCCUGAAGCAGUGCACCAUAUUAAGAUACAGUGGGACUUGAGCUAUUCUUCUGUGAAGAGGAGGAGGGCAACUGUGAAAGAAAUGGCUUGACUGUAAGAUGUUCUCAGUCUAACCAAUUUUAGGAAAGAAAAUAUGUGAAGGCAGAGGAUCCAAAGCGAUUCCCUUCAAACCAUCCUACCCCAUGGGACACCCUUUGUGAACUCCCUAAGGUAACAGCAGUCCAGAACACAGAUGACCUACAGGAUUUCUGUUCCUUUCCAGCUUUUUAUUUUACCAUUGAUGCUUCCUUUCUCCUAUAAAGGAAACAACA